This 3289-nucleotide long non-coding RNA is filed under the name Equus caballus (horse). RNAcentral describes it as "lncRNA (ENSECAG00000043960.1)". The record is from RNAcentral. Lineage: Eukaryota; Metazoa; Chordata; Mammalia; Perissodactyla; Equidae.
GGCUUUCAAAUAUCCUCUCAAUAUAGCUUGGUUCACAAUCUUAUUGUUUCAUUGUGUUAUAUAUUCAAAUAGUCAUUUUUCCUUUUCAGCUCAUUUCCACAGAAUGUAGUAUUUCAUAAUAUUUUCUUGUUUUCAUCUACUUUUUGGACUUUAUUUGGUGGGGCAGUAUUGUUGGGGACACAUUGAUGAGUUACUCGCUCUCCCCAGUUUUAUUGAAUAUUUGAAUGUUCUUAUAGCUUUUCCCUCUCAUCUGGAGAACAUAAUGUACAAAGUAAUGAAAUAUAUUCCAUUCAACGAGAUGUAGCAAGCAUGUGGUUUCCUUCUGCUUUGCUGCAUAGAAUCUCUCGACCAGAGCUCAACAUCAAGAUUCAGAGCAUUUUGUUUCAGAAAGCUGUGAAGCUCUACUGAAAGGAAUAUGAAAUCAGAUAAAACACAUCUUACACCUAAAUCUAAUGGUAAGCCAACAUGCAAAAUAUUUUCUGGCCGAAAUAUGUUUACUUGAGUGAAAUGUGUGAAUUCUAUUCAUUUUUGGCUGGCUUCAGAGAAAAAUGGAAGUGGGUGCUAGGUGGCCUUGCCAGGAGAUGCCAUCCCAAAUUUCAAUAAAGCCAUAUGAAAUAAAAACAUUUUCUAAAAACUGUAAGAAACUCCUUUAGAAAACCAUAGAGAUAGGGAGAUCUAUAAUGAAAGUACAAAACUGGAAUUCAAAACCUUACAAAGACAGUGAAAGUUAAAGUAUGAGUAAGUAUUUCUCAAUGAAAAGCCAGCUAUAGUGCUGAAACCUUUUUAUAAAGUUUACCAAAGUUCAACUUACAGUAGAUUCUAUCAGUAGACUGGGAUUAAAGAUAUUUCCUAAUAUGAAAUUUCUAGAGAUUAACAUCUUGAAAUGUAUAGGAGAUUAAUGUCUUGAAAUGCUUUCUCUCCUCUAAUCUUAAAAGUUAGGCAGAGUAGGCCAGGAGAGCACCCAGGAAUAUGGGCAUAGACAAAUAGAAGUAGCUGUGAAAGAAUGUGAAGACAAGGGGAGAUUUUUUUUUCACCCUCAAGAGAGAAAGUACAGGAGCAGGUUUCUCCGAUGAUACGACAAUGAAAAGGCAGCCUGGGUCAACUCGCGAUGGGUUUUCCGGUCUUCUAAGUGGCAUGACUGCCUCAGGGUUAUAGGAUGAUGGCAUAGGAUGAGGAACUUGCUGAGGUUUUUUGUUUGUUUGUUUUAUCUGGUUUCUUAUUAUUUUGUUGUUGGUGUUGUUAUUUAAGAAGCAGUUCGAUGUAGAAGAAUGAACAUGGGCUUCGAGCUGACACUUAAAUUCAGAAAAUCCACCAGCCCGGAAGACACUGUUUGUUAAGCAAUAAGGUAGGAGGGGCACCAGCAUUGCAGAGAAUCUAUCAGUGGUGGUAGUCCUAUCUAGGCCAGGACUGAUGAUAGGAGAAGUUGUUACAGACCUGGGCUCCCUGAUAGCACUGGGGGCAGUAGAAUCCUACAAUAACAGUAGCCUCGUAGAGUGGAACAUAUCCACUCCUGAGGUUCCACUUCUCCUGAUCUUGGCUCUAAAAUUGACAGAGCAGACUUGUUUAGGUUGAGAAUUCAAACUACUCUGGAGUUCAACUACCUUAUAAUUAAGCCCUGGGCCUGAUGCCAAGGUUUACUGCAGGAGAUGUGACUUUCUUUAUAUGCUGCCAAGGGGUUCUUGACUCUCACACUUUGCCUUAAAUUGAUGAUUAGUCAUCCUCAAACUUUCGCAGUAAGUAACAUCUCGGUCUAUUGUUCUUAUACUUACUAAUAUCCCCCGACCUCUCAAACACCUGAAAUAUUUUGCCAGCAAAUGCAUGGUUUUUCAUCCUUGACAUUAUUGACAUUUUGGACAGGAUAAUUCUUUGUUGGGGGAGAGGGGCUGCAUUGUAGAAUAUUUAACAUCAUCCACUAGAUGACAAAAGCACCACUCCCUCCUCCUACCCUACCCCCGGUCAUAACUAGCAAAAUUAUCUCCCAACUUUGUCAAAUAUCCUAGGGAUUGAGCAAGAGGUAAUAACACACCAUUGAGAACCAUUUCAGUAGCUCAUCCCAGUUCACCACUGGAGAGUUUCAGCUACCGCUCGGCUGUGGCACACCAGGUGCUAUCUAUACUCCGCUGAUUACCAGUGAAGGUGCAUUUUGUCAUUAGGCCAGUGGUUAUUAGGUUCCAAAUUUCCCAUUUUAGAUUCUUCUUUCAUAGUGCAUUCCUGGCACCAACUGCUGUAGAUCAGGUUCCCAGGAGAACAGACUCUGGGAUGGACAUUUGCAUACAGGAAGCUGUCUGGGGCAUGCUCAGGGAAACAGCAUCUGAGAGGGAGUGAAGAAAGCAGGAGUGAGCAGAGGGAGAAGUUGAACUAGCGUGCAGUUGAAACAAAGAUCUCAGUCCCUCCCACAGAGAACACAGCUGUUACGAUGACCCCUCAAAAAUGUUCCAGAUUAAGGUAACUUUGUAUUUCUAAAUCAACCACCAUUGGAUGCCAGCUUCUGUCUCAGCUUCUUUUGGCUGAGGGUAAGUCCUAGGAAGUCCUCAGCUGUAUGCACAUCAGCAGCCAGCACUCCCAGCACCUGGAGGAAUGAGUGCUUCAUUAAGGCUGUGCAUCAAGACAUCCACUACAAACACUAAAAGAGAAAAAUCUUACAAAUAAUUUCUUCUGAAAAUAGUUGGUAAAGAAUUUAAUUUUACUGUAAAGAGAACCUGGUAAUGCCAUGGCAUCUUGUGACGUGGAGCGGUUAGCAAAUAUUUAUUGAGUGCAAAACACUAUUCUGGAUGCUAGGUAGUGUACUUCCAAUUGAUGAGUAACUUAACAAAAAGUUAAAUGCAUGAGGCUAGAUAAAAAUGAGAUGACAUACCAUGAAAUGUAAUCUAUAACAUCAAUUGCUUAUUUUUUACUGUAUUGUCAAGGACAAGAUGCAAGCUGGCGUAUUGCAAAUCAAAGCUCCUCAAAGAUUUCACGUGGCUCUUCCAAUAUCCUUGGGGUUGUCAUUUACGGUCUGUGUGGUGAACAUGACAAUGUCUCCAACACAUUUGGUUGAUUGAUUUGUUCAUGGAAAAAUCAAGCUUCCGUGUGAAUUCUCCUAAAAAAUAAACCAGUCUUCUUAAUUGGUCUGUGUCUUUAUUUUUCUUUCUUUUACUUGUUUGAUUUAUUUUUGUGGUGGCCCAUGUAGGAUGAUAGAAAAGUGUCUCCAGGGUAGUGGUGUUGGUGGUUGUUCUUAAAAUAUUUCCCACUGUUGAGUAUUGAUGACACCUUUAAAUGUCCUUCAUCUCAAAAGAAAUCUUGUCAUCCU